AGGGGGUAGUCGGCUUUAAAAUAUCUAGAUUUUUUGCACUCAUCGCAGAGGUUGCUGUUUCUCUUUUUCUUUUGUUUUUUCUUUACUUCCAUCUUCUCUAGUAUAUCCUUUCUUCUUUGAUCCAAACCUUUUCUUUUUCAUACAUCUCUUGAAUCAUCUUGUGAUCAUGGCUUUUUCAUCAAUAUUUUUUGAUUCUUUGGUUGGAUCACUUUUAAUAUCUUCAACGACCAAUGAUUUUUUAAAGCAACAGUCUUCCUCUUCUUCACUUCUUCCUCAACAAUCUGGUUUAUGCU
Molecule: long non-coding RNA, 293 nt
Filed under: Elaeis guineensis (African oil palm)
Lineage: Eukaryota; Viridiplantae; Streptophyta; Magnoliopsida; Arecales; Arecaceae
Description: long non-coding RNA (EGUI_LNC051250)
Source: RNAcentral